GAGGGUAUAGCUCAAGUGGUAGAGCGUGUGCUUAACACGCAUGAGGUCCUGGGUUCAAUCCCUAGUACCUCCU
Molecule: transfer RNA, 73 nt
Filed under: Camelus bactrianus (Bactrian camel)
Lineage: Eukaryota; Metazoa; Chordata; Mammalia; Artiodactyla; Camelidae
Also listed under: 1 other name
Rfam family: tRNA
About the family: Transfer RNA (tRNA) molecules are approximately 80 nucleotides in length. Their secondary structure includes four short double-helical elements and three loops (D, anti-codon, and T loops). Further hydrogen bonds mediate the characteristic L-shaped molecular structure. tRNAs have two regions of fundamental functional importance: the anti-codon, which is responsible for specific mRNA codon recognition, and the 3' end, to which the tRNAs corresponding amino acid is attached (by aminoacyl-tRNA synthetases). tRNAs cope with the degeneracy of the genetic code in two manners: having more than one tRNA (with a specific anti-codon) for a particular amino acid; and 'wobble' base-pairing, i.e. permitting non-standard base-pairing at the 3rd anti-codon position.
Source: Rfam by way of RNAcentral